CACGGAGUUAGCCGGGGCUUCUUCCCUCGAUACUGUCAGUCCGCAGGGAUGUUAGCCCUGCGGGUAUUCAUCUCGGUCGAAAGGAGUUUACGAGCCGAAGCCCUUCAUCCUCCACGCGGCGUUGCGUCGUCAGGCUUGCGCCCAUUGCGAACAAUUCCCUACUGCUGCCUCCCGUAGGAGUCUGGACCGUGUCUCAGUUCCAGUGUGUCCGUCCGCCCUCUCAGGCCGGAUACCGAUCGUCGCCUUGGUGAGCCGUUACCCCACCAACUAGCUAAUCGGACGUAGGCCCCUCUUCAAGCGCCAGGUCUUGCGAUCCCCGGCUUUGAUAUCCGCGCAUCCAAGCGCGGUAUGUCAUGCGGUAUUAGCCCUCCUUUCGGAAGGUUAUCCCCCGACUCGAAGGCAGGUCGCCCACGCGUUACUCACCCGUUUGCCACGCUAACAACCCCUUGCGGGGUCUUCGCGUACGACUUGCAUGUAUUAGGCACGCCGCCAGCGUUGAUUCUGUAGCCAGGAGU
Molecule: ribosomal RNA, 515 nt
Filed under: uncultured bacterium
Lineage: Bacteria
Description: partial 16S ribosomal RNA
Source: RNAcentral